This 72-nucleotide transfer RNA is filed under the name Termitomyces sp. Its description in RNAcentral is "tRNA-Glu". It matches the Rfam family "tRNA". From Rfam's summary of the family: Transfer RNA (tRNA) molecules are approximately 80 nucleotides in length. Their secondary structure includes four short double-helical elements and three loops (D, anti-codon, and T loops). Lineage: Eukaryota; Fungi; Basidiomycota; Agaricomycetes; Agaricales; Lyophyllaceae. The record is from RNAcentral.
GGUCCUUUAGUAUAGAGGUUAGUACAGCUCCCCUUCAAGAAGCUAGGAUCAGUUCAAAUCUGGUAAGGACCA